This 349-nucleotide small nuclear RNA is filed under the name Castor canadensis (American beaver). RNAcentral's name for it is "7SK RNA (ENSCCNG00000024324.1)". It matches the Rfam family "7SK RNA". Rfam says of the family: 7SK was discovered as an abundant small nuclear RNA in the mid-70s but a possible function has only recently been suggested. Lineage: Eukaryota; Metazoa; Chordata; Mammalia; Rodentia; Castoridae. The record is from RNAcentral.
GGAUAUGAGGGCAAUCUGGCUGCGACAUCUGUCACUCCACUGAUCACCAGGGUUAGUUCAGCUGAUCUGGCUGGCUAGGAAGGUGUCCCUUUCCUCCCUCACCACUCCACAUGCGUUCCUUCAAAAGCUGCACGCUCAAACAGGAAGGAAGACCAUCAUCCCCAACAGAGGAGGACUGUUUUUGGUCAAGAGUAUACGAGUAGCUAUGCUCCCCUGAUAGAACCUCCAAACAAGCUCUCAAGGAAAGUAUUCACACAAUGAACAAAAAGACAGGAAACCUCAGCAGAGGUAAAGCAGCUAAACAGAAUUUCAGAACUGAGAAUGAUUUGAUGUAAAAAAAUUUUCACUG